This 3012-nucleotide long non-coding RNA is filed under the name Olea europaea (common olive). RNAcentral's name for it is "long non-coding RNA (OEUR_LNC011835)". Lineage: Eukaryota; Viridiplantae; Streptophyta; Magnoliopsida; Lamiales; Oleaceae. The record is from RNAcentral.
UCCUUCAAGAUACUCCAUUAACGAAACGGUGAGAGUUGUCAAGGUUGGGGUCAACUUUUUUAGAUGUAAUGAAAAUAGAAGUAUUUUAAUCAAUCACGAUGAAUGUACUAACUCUGUAUAAGACGACGAAAAUAGAUCGAACAGAUAUCCAUUUUUCCAAAUAUUUGUGUGGUUUAGUUAAAUAGAAAGCACCCUCUUCCUUCACCAAACACCAAUUUGCAGAGAGAUAUGGCCUUGCCUUUCUCUCCCUCUUCUUCCUUUCCAAUAAUUGCAUCCCAAAAAUCCACUCAUCCCAACACCACCAAAUUCCAUAUUACUGAAAGACCCAUUAAUAUUUUCACAGAAAACGCCUUAAAAUUCACAUAUUCCAUUCCCAAAAUCACCAAUUCGACCUUCCUCAACAAAGCCUCCCAAGAGCAAGAAAACACCAGUGUUGCCUCAGAAUCCCAAACCCAGGAAAACCCUCCUGAGGAUAACCGGGUCGAGAAAGAUCAGAGUGAGGGAAUAUCAGAAUUGGGUAUGGAAAUCAAGAAGGCAAUGAAGGAGAGGGAGCAAAAGGAACCUGAUUUCUUGAGUGGGGUGGCAGAGGAAAUUAGGGAAAUUGAGUGGCCUGGUUUUAGUAAAGUGUUGGGAACUACUGGAAUUGUUUUGGGGGUGAUGGCAGGGUCGAGUGUCGUUUUGUUAACUGUUAAUGCCGUUUUGGCUGAGCUUUCGGAUCGGGUUUUUGCUGGAAAGGGUAUACAGGAUUUCUUCGGGUGAUGAUAGAGGAGUUGUGAUCUGCUGGGAGAGGGUAUGCCCUCUUGACCUGCACCUGCCACUUGUUAAAGAAGCAUUUGACUGCUUGAAUUUUUGUUACAUAGUUUCUUAUUUUUAACUUGUAUUCCUCUCUGUCAUUUCUUCUAUGGUUUUUGAGGAAUUUUGGAAUGGCAUCGCCUUAGAUAGAAGGUGUUAGAUAUUUUUCAUCAUUUUGCAUGUGUUUAAUUUUUUGUCUUGCGAAUGAUUUGCCGCCCAGAUUAGUGUUUGUCGCUGUCCAUCUGUUCAUUUUUAACAGUCACUUCCAAUAGACGUACUCAAGGAUUUCAAGGGAUACACCUAUUCAAACAGUUGCCUCAGUUUCUAUAAAUUCUGGACGAAUUCUCAUUUGCAAACAUAUUAAAAACAAUUUAUUCUUCCUUCUUUCUCUUGGCAUCAAUCAGUUAUUUUCGAGUGUCUUCUUGGUUUGAUCAAAUAAUCAUAAUUUGAAUCAAACGACUCCAUUGUAUUCUGAGAGAGAUUUUCUAUCAUACCCCAGUUGUGACUUUGUUGAAUAUGGGAGAAAUAUCUCUUAAAAGAUAACGUUUUUUCGUGCCUUGGAGUUCAUUAACGUAUUCAGAUUUCCCUACAUUUUAUCAACAGAAGGUAGAGAGAGGAGAAUAUAGAGAGUAAAAAAGAGAAGAAAAUGAGAAAGAUCUAGGGUUUUGAAAUCUGCUUGGGGUGGAUGGUGUGGUGGUAUAUAAAUUAAUGUAAUUUUAUAACAAUAAUGUAAUAUAAUUAUUAUAAUUUAAAAUUUUGAUUAUCAUCUGAUUUUUGAUAAAAAAAAAUAAAUUACAAAUCUUAAUUUUGAAAUGGAAAGUUUAAAAUUCUGAUAGGCUGUAAUUUCCAUAUAUCGAUAUUAGUGACGUUACUAAUAGUAAUCUUGAUAAGAAAAUUCUCUUAUCUAAAAAUUUCCAAAUCUAUGACAAACCAACCCAUGAAAUUUUCAUGUAACAUACUUUCAUGACAAAGUUCAUCAAACCUAAAAAUGUUCUUAUUGAUAAUCUCUUUAUUUUCAUACCUUUGAUCACGUAAUUAUAUUUUUUCUAAAAUAAAUUUUUUUUUUUAGGGGAGUAUGAUUUUAUUUUUCAAAGAAUUCACUCUCUCUUUCUCUUUCUCAUCUACCUACUAAUAAAAAAAAAAAAAACAAACAUAACAUUUUAUAGGUUGAAAAUUAAAUUAACCAUACACAUUUAAAUAACAAUUUUCAUUCAACUAAGUUACACGCAAUCAAACGCAUCCUUAGUAAUCCAGUAGUGCAAAUGACAGGAGUGAGAUAGUCUCAACCUUGCUGACAGCCACAGUGUGAGCGUUCAAUUUCUGAGAUAUGGAAUUGGACUCUUUGUAGGCAUCAGUAUACGAGCAAACUCUUGUUCCCUGACCCGCUGGAACACAUCUCGUGAUUUACCUCCUUCAAGAUACUCCAUUAAUGAGACGGUGAGAGUUGUCAAGAUUGGGGUGAACUUUUUUAGAUGUAAUGAAAAUAGAAGUAUUUUAAUCAAUCACGAUGAAUGUACUAACUCUGUAUAAGACGACGAAAAUAGAUCGAACAGAUAUCCAUUUUUCCAAAUAUUUGUGUGGUUUAGUUAAAUAGAAAGCACCCUCUUCCUUCACCAAACACCAAUUUGCAGAGAGAUAUGGCCUUGCCUUUCUCUCCCUCUUCUUCCUUUCCAAUAAUUGCAUCCCAAAAAUCCACUCAUCCCAACACCACCAAAUUCCAUAUUACUGAAAGACCCAUUAAUAUUUUCACAGAAAACGCCUUAAAAUUCACAUAUUCCAUUCCCAAAAUCACCAAUUCGACCUUCCUCAACAAAGCCUCCCAAGAGCAAGAAAACACCAGUGUUGCCUCAGAAUCCCAAACCCAGGAAAACCCUCCUGAGGAUAACCGGGUCGAGAAAGAUCAGAGUGAGGGAAUAUCAGAAUUGGGUAUGGAAAUCAAGAAGGCAAUGAAGGAGAGGGAGCAAAAGGAACCUGAUUUCUUGAGUGGGGUGGCAGAGGAAAUUAGGGAAAUUGAGUGGCCUGGUUUUAGUAAAGUGUUGGGAACUACUGGAAUUGUUUUGGGGGUGAUGGCAGGGUCGAGUGUCGUUUUGUUAACUGUUAAUGCCGUUUUGGCUGAGCUUUCGGAUCGGGUUUUUGCUGGAAAGGGUAUACAGGAUUUCUUCGGGUGAUGAUAGAGGAGUUGUGAUCUGCUGGGAGAGGGUAUGCCCUCUUGACCUGCAC